RNAcentral lists this ribosomal RNA (497 nucleotides) under uncultured bacterium. RNAcentral describes it as "partial 16S ribosomal RNA". It matches the Rfam family "Bacterial small subunit ribosomal RNA", at positions 28 to 507 of the family's 1533-position model. The record is from RNAcentral.
GAUGAACGCUGGCGGCGUGCCUAAUACAUGCAAGUCGAGCGAACAGACGAGGAGCUUGCUCCUCUGACGUUAGCGGCGGACGGGUGAGUAACAUGUGGAUAACCUACCUAUAAGACUGGGAUAACUUCGGGAAACCGGAGCUAAUACCGGAUAAUAUAUUGAACCGCAUGGUUGAAUAGUGAAAGACGGCUUUGCUGUCACUUAUAGAUGGAUCCGCGCCGCAUUAGCUAGUUGGUAAGGUAACGGCCUACCAAGGCGACGAUGCGUAGCCGACCUGAGCGGGUGAUCGGCCACACUGGAACUGAGACACGGUCCAGACUCCUACGGGAGGCAGCAGUAGGGAAUCUUGCGCAAUGGGCGAAAGCUUGACGGAGCAACGCCGCGUGAGUGAUGAAGGUCUUCGGAUCGUAAAACUCUGUUAUUAGGGAAGAACAAAUGUGUAAGUAACUAUGCACGUCUUGACGGUACCUGAUCAGAAAGCCACGGCUAACUACGUG